Molecule: ribosomal RNA, 1422 nt
Filed under: uncultured bacterium
Lineage: Bacteria
Description: bacterial SSU rRNA
Rfam family: Bacterial small subunit ribosomal RNA
Source: RNAcentral
UGGCUCAGGAUGAACGCCGGCGGUGUGCCUAAUACAUGCAAGUCGUACGCACUGGCCCAACUGAUUGAUGGUGCUUGCACCUGAUUGACGUUGGAUCACCAGUGAGUGGCGGACGGGUGAGUAACACGUAGGUAACCUGCCCCGGAGCGGGGGAUAACAUUUGGAAACAGAUGCUAAUACCGCAUAACAACAAAAGCCACAUGGCUUUUGUUUGAAAGAUGGCUUUGGCUAUCACUCUGGGAUGGACCUGCGGUGCAUUAGCUAGUUGGUAAGGUAACGGCUUACCAAGGCGAUGAUGCAUAGCCGAGUUGAGAGACUGAUCGGCCACAAUGGAACUGAGACACGGUCCAUACUCCUACGGGAGGCAGCAGUAGGGAAUCUUCCACAAUGGGCGCAAGCCUGAUGGAGCAACACCGCGUGAGUGAAGAAGGGUUUCGGCUCGUAAAGCUCUGUUGUUGGAGAAGAACGUGCGUGAGAGUAACUGUUCACGCAGUGACGGUAUCCAACCAGAAAGUCACGGCUAACUACGUGCCAGCAGCCGCGGUAAUACGUAGGUGGCAAGCGUUAUCCGGAUUUAUUGGGCGUAAAGCGAGCGCAGGCGGUUGCUUAGGUCUGAUGUGAAAGCCUUCGGCUUAACCGAAGAAGUGCAUCGGAAACCGGGCGACUUGAGUGCAGAAGAGGACAGUGGAACUCCAUGUGUAGCGGUGGAAUGCGUAGAUAUAUGGAAGAACACCAGUGGCGAAGGCGGCUGUCUGGUCUGCAACUGACGCUGAGGCUCGAAAGCAUGGGUAGCGAACAGGAUUAGAUACCCUGGUAGUCCAUGCCGUAAACGAUGAGUGCUAGGUGUUGGAGGGUUUCCGCCCUUCAGUGCCGGAGCUAACGCAUUAAGCACUCCGCCUGGGGAGUACGACCGCAAGGUUGAAACUCAAAGGAAUUGACGGGGGCCCGCACAAGCGGUGGAGCAUGUGGUUUAAUUCGAAGCUACGCGAAGAACCUUACCAGGUCUUGACAUCUUGCGCUAACCUUAGAGAUAAGGCGUUCCCUUCGGGGACGCAAUGACAGGUGGUGCAUGGUCGUCGUCAGCUCGUGUCGUGAGAUGUUGGGUUAAGUCCCGCAACGAGCGCAACCCUUGUUACUAGUUGCCAGCAUUAAGUUGGGCACUCUAGUGAGACUGCCGGUGACAAACCGGAGGAAGGUGGGGAUGACGUCAAGUCAUCAUGCCCCUUAUGACCUGGGCUACACACGUGCUACAAUGGACGGUACAACGAGAAGCGAACCUGCGAAGGCAAGCGGAUCUCUUAAAGCUGUUCUCAGUUCGGACUGUAGGCUGCAACUCGCCUACACGAAGCUGGAAUCGCUAGUAAUCGCGGAUCAGCACGCCGCGGUGAAUACGUUCCCGGGCCUUGCACACACCGCCCGUCA